GCUUGUCUCAAAGAUUAAGCCAUGCAUGUCUCAGUAUAAGUUCCUGUACGGCGAAACUGCGAAUGGCUCAUUAAAACAGUUAUAGUUUAUUUGAUGGUCGUUCCUUACAUGGAUAACUGAGGUAAUUCUUGAGCUAAUACAUGCGAAAAAUCUCGACUCACGGAGAGAUGCUUUUAUUAGAUCAAAACCAAACGGCUUCGGCCGUCUCAUUGGUGACUCUGAAUAACUUUGGGCUGAUCGUAUGGCCUUGUGCCGACGACGUUUCCUUCGAAGGUGUGCCCUAUCAACUGUCGACUGUGAUAUAGACGCUCACAGUGGUUUUGACGGGUAACGGGGAAUCAGGGUUCGAUUCCGGAGAGGGAGCCUUAAAAACGGCUACCACAUCCAAGGAAGGCAGCAGG
RNAcentral lists this ribosomal RNA (401 nucleotides) under Crustacea environmental sample. RNAcentral's name for it is "partial small subunit ribosomal RNA". It matches the Rfam family "Eukaryotic small subunit ribosomal RNA", at positions 30 to 432 of the family's 1831-position model. Lineage: Eukaryota; Metazoa; Arthropoda. The record is from RNAcentral.